Molecule: unclassified non-coding RNA, 254 nt
Filed under: uncultured Acidimicrobiia bacterium
Lineage: Bacteria; Bacillati; Actinomycetota; Acidimicrobiia
Description: contains 16S-23S intergenic spacer region
Rfam family: Bacterial small subunit ribosomal RNA
Source: RNAcentral
UACGUAGGGGGCAAGCGUUGUCCGGAUUUAUUGGGCGUAAAGAGCUCGUAGGCGGCUUGGCAAGUCGGGUGUGAAAUCUCCGGGCUCAACUCGGAGGGGCCACUCGAUACUGCCAUGGCUAGAGUCCGGUAGGGGACCAUGGAAUUCCUGGUGUAGCAGUGAAAUGCGCAGAUAUCAGGAGGAACACCAGUGGCGAAGGCGGGGGUCUGGGCCGGUACUGACGCUGAGGAGCGAAAGCGUGGGGAGCGAACAGG